RNAcentral lists this ribosomal RNA (207 nucleotides) under uncultured bacterium. RNAcentral's name for it is "partial 16S ribosomal RNA". It matches the Rfam family "Bacterial small subunit ribosomal RNA", at positions 568 to 774 of the family's 1533-position model. The record is from RNAcentral.
CACGUAGGCGGCCUUGCAAGUCAGAUGUGAAAUCCAACGGCUUAACCGUUGAACUGCAUUUGAAACUGCAAGGCUAGAGUAUGGGAGAGGUAGGUGGAAUUCUCGGUGUAGGGGUAAAAUCCGUAGAGAUCGAGAGGAAUACUCAUUGCGAAGGCGACCUGCUGGAACAUUACUGACGCUGAGGUGCGAAAGCGUGGGGAGCAAACA